UACGAGGGGUGCAAGCGUUGUUCAGAAUUAUUGGGCGUAAAGGGAGCGUAGGCGGUUUUGUAAGUCGUGUGUGAAAUCUUCGGGCUCAACCCGAAGUCUGCACACGAAACUGCAGGGCUUGAGUAUGGGAGAGGUGAGAGGAAUUCCUGGUGUAGCGGUGAAAUGCGUAGAUAUCAGGAGGAACACCUGUGGCGAAAGCGGCUCACUGGACCAUUACUGACGCUGAGGCUCGAAAGCUAGGGGAGCAAACAGG
RNAcentral lists this ribosomal RNA (253 nucleotides) under uncultured bacterium. RNAcentral's name for it is "partial 16S ribosomal RNA". It matches the Rfam family "Bacterial small subunit ribosomal RNA", at positions 524 to 776 of the family's 1533-position model. The record is from RNAcentral.